This 253-nucleotide ribosomal RNA is filed under the name uncultured bacterium. RNAcentral describes it as "partial 16S ribosomal RNA". It matches the Rfam family "Bacterial small subunit ribosomal RNA", at positions 524 to 776 of the family's 1533-position model. The record is from RNAcentral.
UACAGAGGGUGCGAGCGUUAAUCGGAUUUACUGGGCGUAAAGCGUGCGUAGGCGGCUUUUUAAGUCGGAUGUGAAAUCCCUGAGCUUAACUUAGGAAUUGCAUUCGAUACUGGGAAGCUAGAGUAUGGGAGAGGAUGGUAGAAUUCCAGGUGUAGCGGUGAAAUGCGUAGAGAUCUGGAGGAAUACCGAUGGCGAAGGCAGCCAUCUGGCCUAAUACUGACACUGAGAGACGAAAGCUAGGGGAGCGAAUGGG